ACUUAAAUUGAAGAGUUUGAUCAUGGCUCAGAUUGAACGCUGGCGGCAGGCCUAACACAUGCAAGUCGAGCGGUAGCACAGAGAGCUUGCUCUCGGGUGACGAGCGGCGGACGGGUGAGUAAUGUCUGGGAAACUGCCUGAUGGAGGGGGAUAACUACUGGAAACGGUAGCUAAUACCGCAUAACGUCGCAAGACCAAAGUGGGGGACCUUCGGGCCUCAUGCCAUCAGAUGUGCCCAGAUGGGAUUAGCUAGUAGGUGAGGUAACGGCUCACCUAGGCGACGAUCCCUAGCUGGUCUGAGAGGAUGACCAGCCACACUGGAACUGAGACACGGUCCAGACUCCUACGGGAGGCAGCAGUGGGGAAUAUUGCACAAUGGGCGCAAGCCUGAUGCAGCCAUGCCGCGUGUGUGAAGAAGGCCUUCGGGUUGUAAAGCACUUUCAGCGGGGAGGAAGGCGUUAAGGUUAAUAACCUUGGCGAUUGACGUUACCCGCAGAAGAAGCACCGGCUAACUCCGUGCCAGCAGCCGCGGUAAUACGGAGGGUGCAAGCGUUAAUCGGAAUUACUGGGCGUAAAGCGCACGCAGGCGGUCUGUCAAGUCGGAUGUGAAAUCCCCGGGCUUAACCUGGGAACUGCAUUCGAAACUGGCAGGCUAGAGUCUUGUAGAGGGGGGUAGAAUUCCAGGUGUAGCGGUGAAAUGCGUAGAGAUCUGGAGGAAUACCGGUGGCGAAGGCGGCCCCCUGGACAAAGACUGACGCUCAGGUGCGAAAGCGUGGGGAGCAAACAGGAUUAGAUACCCUGGUAGUCCACGCCGUAAACGAUGUCGAUUUGGAGGUUGUGCCCUUGAGGCGUGGCUUCCGGAGCUAACGCGUUAAAUCGACCGCCUGGGGAGUACGGCCGCAAGGUUAAAACUCAAAUGAAUUGACGGGGGCCCGCACAAGCGGUGGAGCAUGUGGUUUAAUUCGAUGCAACGCGAAGAACCUUACCUGGUCUUGACAUCCACAGAACUUAGCAGAGAUGCUUUGGUGCCUUCGGGAACUGUGAGACAGGUGCUGCAUGGCUGUCGUCAGCUCGUGUUGUGAAAUGUUGGGUUAAGUCCCGCAACGAGCGCAACCCUUAUCCUUUGUUGCCAGCGGUCCGGCCGGGAACUCAAAGGAGACUGCCAGUGAUAAACUGGAGGAAGGUGGGGAUGACGUCAAGUCAUCAUGGCCCUUACGACCAGGGCUACACACGUGCUACAAUGGCAUAUACAAAGAGAAGCGACCUCGCGAGAGCAAGCGGACCUCAUAAAGUAUGUCGUAGUCCGGAUUGGAGUCUGCAACUCGACUCCAUGAAGUCGGAAUCGCUAGUAAUCGUAGAUCAGAAUGCUACGGUGAAUACGUUCCCGGGCCUUGUACACACCGCCCGUCACACCAUGGGAGUGGGUUGCAAAAGAAGUAGGUAGCUUAACCUUCGGGAGGGCGCUUACCACUUUGUGAUUCAUGACUGGGGUGAAGUCGUAACAAGGUAACCGUAGGGGAACCUGCGGUUGGAUCACCUCCUUACCUUAAAGAA
This 1554-nucleotide ribosomal RNA is filed under the name Klebsiella pneumoniae. RNAcentral describes it as "bacterial SSU rRNA". It matches the Rfam family "Bacterial small subunit ribosomal RNA". Lineage: Bacteria; Pseudomonadati; Pseudomonadota; Gammaproteobacteria; Enterobacterales; Enterobacteriaceae. RNAcentral also lists the same sequence under 1 other name. The record is from RNAcentral.